CUCGUACUGUUAUUAUUGUGGCGAGCUUCGGGCUUGUUUGUGUUUCGCAAAAGUUCUGCAGCGGGGCUUACUCAGAGCGGCUGUUCGUUCGUCCAAUGUGCAAAGACAGCCACGACACACCCUACACAUACACACACGCACAGUCUUCGGAGACGGACGCAGGUAAACUGCAGGUGAUUCACAACGCAAACGUGUGUGUCGUAUGCUCACGCAUACACUGCUAUUAAUGCGAGUAUAAGAUAUUCGUAGCAGAGAUAGAGAAAGAGAGAGUGAUAGCGAAACCAAGAGAGAGGAAGCUUUGGCAUGCUUCACACGGAUCUUCAGCAUAAGUUUGGCUUGGCUUCCAUACAAGAGCGGAUUGGAACUUGCGAAAGCUUUGUUGCAAUCGAAAAAUGUGAAUGCCAAAGGAACGGAUGGAUUCUAGUUUUUCACGAACCCACACCACCUAUCGCGUAUCGUCAUCGAAAAAGUCAGCUUGUUAAGCUUAUUUAUUCGCAUGUAUCUACGUAUGUAUGUAUGUAUGUGUUGUGUGUGGUCGUGUUGGAUAAAGCACAUCAAAUGGAUAUCAAAACAGUUACAAAUUUGUGCUGCUCUCUGAGAGUGCCGUAGAUCGAAGUGUAAGAAGCUUUGCCUUCGAUACAGCUGACGAUUUGAAUACAGCAAAUGUGGUUCUUGAAUGGACGAGCUGCGGCUCCACCUGGCUAUUGAUCUCACAGUUGCCUUUCCAUUAGCAGCGAGGGAACCUACACCCUGCACAUUCGUAAACAUUUUGAAUCUUUGCAAAAUUUCAAUUUGAAACUUGAAGAGGUUCUACUGCAGUUGCUCAACGCUAUUGGAUAUUAACCAACACUGUUCUUCAAUUUUUUUUAUUUGAAGCUAGUUUUUUAUGUCUGUUAACAUUUAAUUAUUCCAAACACUUUUCUGCUUAAUUUGUAAUCCUUCCCAGCACUGUCAGUGAGAUUGGUACUAAAUUCUCAAUACUCUAAUAUUAUAUAGUUGUCAAGAAACAGUGAAAAUAAUCCCAGUGCAUUUAAAUUCCCAUUUCCCAGUAUUUUAAUUUUGAAGAGCUUGUUAAUGCAGCUGAAAUAUGAUUAUAGGACACCAGAGAA
Molecule: long non-coding RNA, 1109 nt
Organism: Drosophila pseudoobscura
Lineage: Eukaryota; Metazoa; Arthropoda; Insecta; Diptera; Drosophilidae
Exons: 2
Source: RefSeq, a predicted model, not a curated record